Long non-coding RNA from Eriocheir sinensis (Chinese mitten crab), 452 nucleotides. RefSeq lists it as uncharacterized. The transcript is spliced from 3 exons. The record is from RefSeq and is a predicted model, not a curated record. NCBI's taxonomy places the organism in Eukaryota, Metazoa, Arthropoda, Malacostraca, Decapoda, Varunidae.
UUUUAACCACAUUAAAUAAACAUUCGUCUGUCUUAAAUCCCUUAUCGAUAAACUUCGGAAUAAAAUAACUCCAUCUUUGCUAUUUUUUUUAUUGGUAACACUUCGUCUUUUGGGGGGGGGGAUAAGGUUAGGCUAUGAAAGGAUAUGAUACUUUAAUAUUAGAGGUUAGUUUAGAUAAUAGCUGAUGGAGGGAAAAGGUUAGGCUAUGAAAGGAUAUGAUACUUUAAUAUUAGAGGUUAGUUUAGAUAAUAGCUGAUGGAGAGAAAAGGUUAGGCUAUGAAAGGAUAUGUUACUUUAAUAUUAGAGGUUAGUUUAGAUAAUAGCUGAUGGAGAGAAAAGGUUAGGCUAUGAAAGGAUAUGAUACUCUAAUAUUAGAGGUUAGUUUAGAUAAUAGCUGUUGGAGAGAAAAGGCUAGGCUAUGAAAGGAUAUGAUACUCUAAUUUUGAGAAGUU